AUGCACGCUGGCGGCGUGCCUAAUACCUGCAAGUCGCGCGCACGGACGAGAAGCUUGCUUCUCUGAUGUUAGCGGCGGACGGGUGAGUAACACGUGGAUAACCUACCUAUAAGACUGGGAUAACUUCGGGAAACCGGAGCUAAUACCGGAUGAUAUUUUGAACCGCAUGGUUCAAAAGUGAAAGACGGUCUUGCUGUCACUUAUAGAUGGAUCCGCGCUGCAUUAGCUAGUUGGUAAGGUAACGGCUUACCAAGGCAACGAUGCAUAGCCGACCUGAGAGGGUGAUCGGCCACACUGGAACUGAGACACGGUCCAGACUCCUACGGGAGGCAGCAGUAGGGAAUCUUCCGCAAUGGGCGAAAGCCUGACGGAGCAACGCCGCGUGAGUGAUGAAGGUCUUCGGAUCGUAAAACUCUGUUAUUAGGGAAGAACAUAUGUGUAAGUAACUGUGCACAUCUUGACGGUACCUAAUCAGAAAGCCACGGCUAACUACGUG
Molecule: ribosomal RNA, 496 nt
Filed under: uncultured bacterium
Lineage: Bacteria
Description: partial 16S ribosomal RNA
Rfam family: Bacterial small subunit ribosomal RNA
Source: RNAcentral